AGACGUCUACAUUAGAUACCCGCGUAGUCCCAGCCGUAAACUAUGCGCGUUAGGUGUAUCGGUGACCACGAGUUACCGAGGUGCCGAAGGGAAACCGUGAAACGUGCCGCCUGGGAAGUACGGUCGCAAGGCUGGAACUUAAAGGAAUUGGCGGGGAGCACCACAACGGGUGGAGCCUGCGGUUUAAUUGGACUCAACGCCGGGAAGCUCACCGGAUAAGACAGCGGAAUGAUUGCCGGGCUGAAGACUCUGCAUGACUAGCUG
This 264-nucleotide ribosomal RNA is filed under the name uncultured archaeon. RNAcentral's name for it is "partial 16S ribosomal RNA". It matches the Rfam family "Archaeal small subunit ribosomal RNA", at positions 717 to 982 of the family's 1478-position model. The record is from RNAcentral.